Non-coding RNA from Drosophila melanogaster (fruit fly), 1822 nucleotides. NCBI's taxonomy places the organism in Eukaryota, Metazoa, Arthropoda, Insecta, Diptera, Drosophilidae. The record is from Ensembl.
ACAUUUAGCAUACAUUCUACACACGCGUAUCAAAUACAUAGAUUGUGACUGCUUAAUUUAGACUAAGACACUAAAUAGGAGAAUCUAAGAAUGAGAAAACAGUCAGUUCUGGAGCACGAGCCACGGUAGCAGGAUGAUGCACAAGGACCAGGAUAAGCCCAUCGAUCCACUCUUCAAGUUGGUAUAACUGUCCACGAUGUGAAUCUUCCAGCCCAUAUUGCCAUGGAGCCGGUUCCCCUUCUACACACUCGGUGAUGAGGGAUCGAUUGAACUUCUUGAAAGUGGGGAAGUUAUCAUCCAGUCGACGAUCACUAUUUUGAGGAUAUCUGGACAGGCACAGGGGACCAGCAGCCGUGGGCUUGGGCCUGCCUCUCCGGGUGAAUUCAACACCGGCUAAUACACGAAUCUCACUCUGCUUUGCAUCAGACAGUCGGUCAUACCCACCCUGGGGAUCAUCGGUGAUAACCAACGGAUGAUAGUGCUCCGGCGAGUGAGGAUUAUUGCCACCCCUAACCUUAAAGGUGUAGGUCAGACCACGCUUUAGGUAAAGCUCUGGAAUCAUGUAGCCGUUGAUGUACCAGGCCAAGCCACUGGACACAUGAUUCGUCAAUCCCUGAUAGCCACGAAGUCCUCCAGAGGGUCCCAAGUAGGCGUUGAAUGAAGAUUGGAGUCUUACGCAUCUGUUAUCCUGGUUCGCUCCCACACUGGAGGAUUAGUCGUCUCCGCUCGUUUUGUAAAUGCAAAGCAAUCAUUAACCGGUUCUGUGGUGUUAAAAUCUAUCACUAUAUCGCUCUUGGGAUAGUAAGUGUGAAAGGCGGGCUCGUUGUUGGAGUCCAAUGGGCCAAAUGCCCAGAUCACGUAGUUGCUGCGGUCUAGGAAGAUCUCCUUAUCGCCAUCAUCGGCUAAAAUGUGAAAGAGCUGCAUCAGUAAGCAAAAGGCAUACCACUUAUGAUAACCAACUCACAUGACUUGAGCGUCCGCCUAAAACUGAUCGUAUUAAUGCCAUCCUUGCGACUAUACGUAUUCAACUGGAAGCUGUCCAAUCCACCAACCACAUCGUCACGGCAAACUCCUUUGUUUUGACCCAAAACCUGAACGCACGGCGCUAACGAAGUGAUAUUGUAGUCCACGGUGUAGCCUCUGAUGUCGUCUAUAUAGGCCACCACGACAUCGGAGCCAAUCAUCUGGCUGGAUACAUCAGAUCCGGAUAUGCCGAAAGACAUAUAAUCGUUGCCGCCCACCUGACCGGAUAGUUGAAACGUGAUCUGCGGCCCGAAAACCUCCCAGGACACCUGCAUAUCCUUGUGUAGUUGCCGGCAAUUGGGCAGCGAGAAUUCGAAUGGUGUAACUUUCACUAGGGAAGGUGGAACAUUAAGUUUAUCGUUGAACAGAACAUGACCAUAGUUCUCGUUGUCAGCCACAUCGUAUACACUGAUCCAAUCGAUGUCAAAGAUAGUCUUAUCUCCUGGCAGUUCCAGUUCUAUGGUCUCCUUGUUGUACUGUCUUAUAGGAUCAAGGCUAAAUGAUUUAUGAUGAAUUGUUUAAAUGGCUUGCUUCCUCGACUCGAUGGCUGUGGCCCGACUCCUGUCCAGAAAAAUGUCCUCUUGCCACGCCCAUCGUAGGUAAAGUCCUUGAUGCGAAUGGUCUUUGAGUCCAAGAUCUCAACACUGCUGCUGCUCACAUUGUGACUGCGCUUGGAGAAGGUUCCGCCCAAUUGGCUCAUCGGUGGAUCGAACUCCUCGGGUAUAUAAACGUCGCCAAAGUUGUUUUGACUGCUCAGAUCGUAAACCGCCAGCCAUUUAAUCUCAGUUAUCUUCUUUCG